AAGUCGUAACAAGGUUUCCGUAGGUGAACCUGCGGAAGGAUCAUUACCGAGUGAGGGCCCUCUGGGUCCAACCUCCCACCCGUGUUUAUCGUACCUUGUUGCUUCGGCGGGCCCGCCGAAGACACCAUUGAACGCUGUCUGAAGAUUGCAGUCUGAGCAAUUAGCUAAAUAAGUUAAAACUUUCAACAACGGAUCUCUUGGUUCUG
This 206-nucleotide unclassified non-coding RNA is filed under the name Penicillium sp. RNAcentral describes it as "partial internal transcribed spacer region". The stretch from base 1 to 46 matches the Rfam family "Eukaryotic small subunit ribosomal RNA", at positions 1786 to 1831 of the family's 1831-position model. The record is from RNAcentral. Lineage: Eukaryota; Fungi; Ascomycota; Eurotiomycetes; Eurotiales; Aspergillaceae.